CUAUAAGCAGCCAAUAAACACCAUAAAAGAAGCAGGGGAAGACUUUUUACAAGGGAAGGAAUAAAACACAAGUGAAACUAAAGCUGCGCAACUAAACUUCGAACAGUAGCUCUAUACUCGGUGAGUUUAUUUUUUCAGCAUUCACGUGUUUUAUGCAAAUAUUUUCUUUUAUUGAUGUUAUAAACCAUUGCAGAUGUAUCAAGGUUUUUAUGUUGUGAAUUGGAUUUGUUUUCUAGCAUUUUCAUCGUCUUGUGAUCAGAUCACAAGUGUGACCAUCGAGAUUACGGAUGGCGACUGGGCCUGAACCAGGAAUUGUUCACUCAUGCAUUUGAAGGUGAAACGUCACAUGGAGCGAGUUGCGUUCUGGGAAACUGUAUACCAUGCAGUGUCUUCAGAUGUACAUCAAAUUUCAGCAAAUGUAGCAGAGCUUGGCAUUAAUUCACCAUGGAGUCCAGAGUUCAUCCAGGAGCUUCUCCCAUCUGCGGAGCGAACUGCUCUCCUCUAUCACCUGUCUUACCUGUGUCUGGGAGGCUUCCCAAAGUUGGAGCGUCUGAUCAGAGAACGAGCUAUAGAAACGCAACUGCUGUUUGGAUCAUCUGAGGCCGUUCUGCUGAAGAUCUACCCAUAUAAAUCAGAUUCCGAAGAAGUCCGUGCUAAUUAAGAAUGUAGUCAUGCCAGAUAAGUUGUAUCAUCUCAUCACCUUAGCAGCCCACACUUACACGUCCACCUGCAACUUGUUCAAAACAAAGGCAUAGCUUUCUGACGCCGUAAUUGAGUGUGGAAUCCUGGGAGAUGUUUUCACCUUUACAGACGAUGGAAAAGAAUCCGACAGUAUUCGGCCAUUUUUGUGGAGCAGGUAAUAUAAUAAAGAUUUAUUUUACAUUGUUGUAGUAUGAAGCAGGGUGGGGCUUAAAGCUGUGGAAGUGGAACAAGGCCGCUGGAGCGAUCUUCAGUCACCACUUCCGCUCCUUCCAGUCUUGCAUAUGUGGG
RNAcentral lists this long non-coding RNA (990 nucleotides) under Sinocyclocheilus anshuiensis. RNAcentral describes it as "lncRNA (ENSSANG00000024692.1)". Lineage: Eukaryota; Metazoa; Chordata; Actinopteri; Cypriniformes; Cyprinidae. The record is from RNAcentral.